AAAACUUUCAACAACGGAUCUCUUGGUUCUGGCAUCGAUGAAGAACGCAGCGAAAUGCGAUAAGUAAUGUGAAUUGCAGAAUUCAGUGAAUCAUCGAAUCUUUGAACGCACAUUGCGCCCCUUGGUAUUCCGAAGGGCAUGCCUGUUCGAGCGUCAUUG
Molecule: ribosomal RNA, 159 nt
Filed under: Wetmoreana texana
Lineage: Eukaryota; Fungi; Ascomycota; Lecanoromycetes; Teloschistales; Teloschistaceae
Description: 5.8S ribosomal RNA
Rfam family: 5.8S ribosomal RNA
About the family: 5.8S ribosomal RNA (5.8S rRNA) is a component of the large subunit of the eukaryotic ribosome. It is transcribed by RNA polymerase I as part of the 45S precursor that also contains 18S and 28S rRNA. Functionally, it is thought that 5.8S rRNA may be involved in ribosome translocation.
Source: RNAcentral